This 397-nucleotide ribosomal RNA is filed under the name uncultured bacterium. Its description in RNAcentral is "partial 16S ribosomal RNA". It matches the Rfam family "Bacterial small subunit ribosomal RNA", at positions 523 to 918 of the family's 1533-position model. The record is from RNAcentral.
AUACGUAGGGGGCGAGCGUUGUCCGGAAUGAUUGGGCGUAAAGGGUGCGUAGGCGGCGCGGUAAGUCUGGAGUGAAAGUCCUGCUUUCAAGGCGGGACUUGCUUUGGAUACUGCCGCGCUUGAGUGCAGGAGAGGUUAUCGGAAUUCCCGGUGUAGCGGUGAAAUGCGUAGAGAUCGGGAGGAACACCAGUGGCGAAGGCGGGUUCCAGGACUGAAACUGACGCUGAGGCGCGAAAGUGUGGGGAGCAAAAAGGAUUAGAUACCCCGGUAGUCCACACUGUAAACGAUGGAUACUAGGCGGAAGACGUAUCGACCCCUGUUGUGCUGUAGUCAACGCAAUAAGUAUACCGCCUGGGGAGUACGGUCGCAAGGAUGAAACUCAAAUGAAUUGACGGGG